GUUUGAUCAUGGCUCAGGAUGAACGCUAGCUACAGGCUUAACACAUGCAAGUCGAGGGGAAACGACAUCGAAAGCUUGCUUUUGAUGGGCGUCGACCGGCGCACGGGUGAGUAACGCGUAUCCAACCUGCCCACCACUUGGGAAUAACCUUGCGAAAGUAAGACUAAUGCCCAAUGAUAUCUCUAGAAGACAUCUGAAGGAGAUUAAAGAUUUAUCGGUGAUGGAUGGGGAUGCGUCUGAUUAGCUUGUUGGCGGGGUAACGGCCCACCAAGGCGACGAUCAGUAGGGGUUCUGAGAGGAAGGUCCCCCACAUUGGAACUGAGACACGGUCCAAACUCCUACGGGAGGCAGCAGUGAGGAAUAUUGGUCAAUGGGCGAGAGCCUGAACCAGCCAAGUAGCGUGCAGGAUGACGGCCCUAUGGGUUGUAAACUGCUUUUAUAAGGGAAUAAAGUGGGAGUCGUGACUCUUUUUGCAUGUACCUUAUGAAUAAGGACCGGCUAAUUCCGUGCCAGCAGCCGCGGUAAUACGGAAGGUCCGGGCGUUAUCCGGAUUUAUUGGGUUUAAAGGGAGCGUAGGCCGGAGAUUAAGCGUGUUGUGAAAUGUAGACGCUCAACGUCUGCACUGCAGCGCGAACUGGUUCC
RNAcentral lists this ribosomal RNA (642 nucleotides) under uncultured bacterium. RNAcentral's name for it is "bacterial SSU rRNA". It matches the Rfam family "Bacterial small subunit ribosomal RNA", at positions 11 to 640 of the family's 1533-position model. The record is from RNAcentral.